RNAcentral lists this transfer RNA (61 nucleotides) under Agrilinae sp. 1 ACP-2013. RNAcentral describes it as "tRNA-Cys". The record is from RNAcentral. Lineage: Eukaryota; Metazoa; Arthropoda; Insecta; Coleoptera; Buprestidae.
GUCUUGUAGUCAAGUAUGAUUUUAAAUUGCAAAUUUAAAGGUAGAUUUAUCUUAAGGCUUA